Molecule: ribosomal RNA, 253 nt
Filed under: uncultured bacterium
Lineage: Bacteria
Description: partial 16S ribosomal RNA
Rfam family: Bacterial small subunit ribosomal RNA
Source: RNAcentral
UACGUAGGGUGCAAGCGUUAUCCGGAAUUAUUGGGCGUAAAGAGCUCGUAGGCGGUUUGUCGCGUCUGCUGUGAAAACUGGAGGCUCAACCUCCAGCCUGCAGUGGGUACGGGCAGACUAGAGUGCGGUAAGGGAGAUUGGAAUUCCUGGUGUAGCGGUGGAAUGCGCAGAUAUCAGGAGGAACACCGAUGGCGAAGGCAGAUCUCUGGGCCGUAACUGACGCUGAGGAGCGAAAGCAUGGGGAGCGAACAGG